GACGAACCGUGCGAACGUUGUUCGGAAUCACUGGGCUUAAAGGGCGCGUAGGCGGGUUCGCAAGUCUGUGGUGAAAUCCUCCAGCUUAACUGGAGAAGUGCCAUGGAUACUGCGAGCCUCGAGGAGGGUAGGGGCAUCUGGAACAGUAGGUGGAGCGGUGAAAUGCGUUGAUAUCUACUGGAACUCCGGUGGCGAAGGCGAGGUGCUGGACCCUUUCUGACGCUGAGGCGCGAAAGCCAGGGGAGCGAACGGG
RNAcentral lists this ribosomal RNA (253 nucleotides) under uncultured bacterium. Its description in RNAcentral is "partial 16S ribosomal RNA". It matches the Rfam family "Bacterial small subunit ribosomal RNA", at positions 524 to 776 of the family's 1533-position model. The record is from RNAcentral.